GCCCCGGUAGCUUAGCCCAGCAAAGCGCCUGCCUCGUAAGCAGGAGAUCGCGGGUGCAAAUCCCGCUCGGGGCUCCA
RNAcentral lists this transfer RNA (77 nucleotides) under Nitrososphaerales archaeon. RNAcentral's name for it is "tRNA-Thr". It matches the Rfam family "tRNA". Rfam says of the family: Transfer RNA (tRNA) molecules are approximately 80 nucleotides in length. Their secondary structure includes four short double-helical elements and three loops (D, anti-codon, and T loops). The record is from RNAcentral. Lineage: Archaea; Thermoproteati; Nitrososphaerota; Nitrososphaeria; Nitrososphaerales.